CUCCAUGUGCUAGGCAUGACUAUAGAAUGCAGUCGAGCGGACAGAUGGGAGCUUGCUCCCUGAUGUUAGCGGCGGACGGGUGAGUAACACGUGGGUAACCUGCCUGUAAGACUGGGAUAACUCCGGGAAACCGGGGCUAAUACCGGAUGCUUGUUUGAACCGCAUGGUUCAAACAUAAAAGGUGGCUUCGGCUACCACUUACAGAUGGACCCGCGGCGCAUUAGCUAGUUGGUGAGGUAAUGGCUCACCAAGGCAACGAUGCGUAGCCGACCUGAGAGGGUGAUCGGCCACACUGGGACUGAGACACGGCCCAGACUCCUACGGGAGGCAGCAGUAGGGAAUCUUCCGCAAUGGACGAAAGUCUGACGGAGCAACGCCGCGUGAGUGAUGAAGGUUUUCGGAUCGUAAAGCUCUGUUGUUAGGGAAGAACAAGUGCCGUUCAAAUAGGGCGGCACCUUGACGGUACCUAACCAGAAAGCCACGGCUAACUANGUGCCAGCAGCCGCGGUAAUACGUAGGUGGCAAGCGUUGUCCGGAAUUAUUGGGCGUAAAGGGNUCGCAGGCGGUUUCUUUAAUUUUGAUUUGAAAAGCCCCCGGCUCAACCGGGGAGGGUCAUUGGAAACUGGGGAACUUGAGUGCAGAAGAAAGAGAGUGGAAUUUCCACGUGUAGCGGUGAAAUGCGUAGAGAUGUGGAGGAACACCAGUGGCGAAGGCGACUCUCUGGUCUGUAACUGACGCUGAGGAGCGAAAGCGUGGGGAGCGAACAGGAUUAGAUACCCUGGUAGUCCACGCCGUAAACGAUGAGUGCUAAGUGUUAGGGGGUUUCCGCCCCUUAGUGCUGCAGCUAACGCAUUAAGCACUCCGCCUGGGGAGUACGGUCGCAAGACUGAAACUCAAAGGAAUUGACGGGGGCCCGCACAAGCGGUGGAACAUGUGGUUUAAUUCGAAGCAACGCGAAGAACCUUACCAGGUCUUGACAUCCUCUGACAACCCUAGAGAUAGGGCUUUCCCUUCGGGGGCAGAGUGACAGGUGGUGCAUGGUUGUCGUCAGCUCGUGUCNUGAGAUGUUGGGUUAAGUCCCGCAACAAGCGCAACCCUUGAUCUUAGUUGCCAACAUUCAGUUGGGCACUCUAAGGUGACUGCCGUUGACAAACCGNAGGAAGGUGGGGAUGACGUCAAAUCAUCAUGCCCCUUAUGACCUGGGCUACACACGUGCUACAAUGGACAGAACAAAGGGCAGCGAGACCGCGAGGUUAAGCCAAUCCCACAAAUCUGUUCUCAGUUCGGAUCGCAGUCUGCAACUCGACUGCGUGAAGCUGGAAUCGCUAGUAAUCGCGGAUCAGCAUGCCGCGGUGAAUACGUUCCCGGGCCUUGUACACACCGCCCGUCACACCACGAGAGUUUGUAACACCCGAAGUCGGUGAGGUAACCUUUAUGGAGCCAGCCGCGAAGGUGGACAGAAAGGAA
Molecule: ribosomal RNA, 1467 nt
Filed under: Bacillus sp. (in: firmicutes)
Lineage: Bacteria; Bacillati; Bacillota; Bacilli; Caryophanales; Bacillaceae
Description: bacterial SSU rRNA
Rfam family: Bacterial small subunit ribosomal RNA
Source: RNAcentral